Molecule: ribosomal RNA, 468 nt
Filed under: uncultured bacterium
Lineage: Bacteria
Description: partial 16S ribosomal RNA
Rfam family: Bacterial small subunit ribosomal RNA
Source: RNAcentral
GACGAACGCUGGCGGCGUGCUUAACACAUGCAAGUCGAACGGAAAGGCCCUGCUUUUGUGGGGUUCUCGAGUGGCGAACGGGUGAGUAACACGUGAGUAACCUGCCCUUGACUUUGGGAUAACUUCAGGAAACUGGGGCUAAUACCGGAUAGGAGCUCCUGCUGCAUGGUGGGGGUUGGAAAGUUUCGGCGGUUGGGGAUGGACUCGCGGCUUAUCAGCUUGUUGGUGGGGUAGUGGCUUACCAAGGCUUUGACGGGUAGCCGGCCUGAGAGGGUGACCGGCCACAUUGGGACUGAGAUACGGACCAGACUGCUACGGGAGGCAGAAGUGGGGAAUAUUGCACAAUGGGCGGAAGCCUGAUGCAGCAACGCCGCGUGCGGGAUGACGGCCUUCGGGUUGUAAACCGCUUUCGCCUGUGACGAAGCGUGAGUGACGGUAAUGGGUAAAGAAGCACCGGCUAACUACGUG